This 253-nucleotide ribosomal RNA is filed under the name uncultured bacterium. RNAcentral's name for it is "partial 16S ribosomal RNA". It matches the Rfam family "Bacterial small subunit ribosomal RNA", at positions 524 to 776 of the family's 1533-position model. The record is from RNAcentral.
UACGUAGGGUGCAAGCGUUGUCCGGAUUUAUUGGGUUUAAAGGGUGCGUAGGCGGCCCGUUAAGUCAGCGGUGAAAUCCCGGGGCUCAACCCCGGAACUGCCGUUGAUACUGGCGGGCUUGAGUUCGGUCGAGGCGGGCGGAACUGGCGGUGUAGCGGUGAAAUGCUUAGAUACCGCCAAGAACCCCGAUUGCGUAGGCAGCUCGCUGUGCCGAAACUGACGCUGAGGCACGAAAGCGUGGGGAGCGAACAGG